This is a long non-coding RNA of Callorhinus ursinus (northern fur seal), 483 nucleotides long. RefSeq lists it as uncharacterized. The record is from RefSeq and is a predicted model, not a curated record. NCBI's taxonomy places the organism in Eukaryota, Metazoa, Chordata, Mammalia, Carnivora, Otariidae.
CCCCUAGGGGGAGGGCCGCGCGAGUUUUUAUGAAGGCGCGCCACAGAGGUUUGGAACUUGCGGAAUCGCCCCGCCCCCAGUCGACCUGCGCUCCUGCUCUCUCCCAAGGCUGGGACUUGGGGACGCUUGGGUUCCCGGCAGACUCUGCGGCAGACGCGCUGUGUGACCUUGAGCAAGUGUCCCCGCUCUGGGGGGGCCUCCGUUUCCACUAGUAAAAUGGGAUUGGGGUGCUCUGGCCCUGCAAUCUGUGACCUAAUGAAAUCCAUGACCUCUCCGACUUGAGGCCACGCGCGUCCCCUCCCCGCCCCAUCCUUGGCGACCCCAAGGCUCUACUGCACACGGUUCUGGCCAAGGAGGCCUACGCUGAAGGCUGCAGGAUUACUGAGGAUUAAAUGGCAUUCAAAGAUAAGAAGAGCUGACUCACUGCCAGCAACUGCUUACCUCUAGUAGCAGGAAGAAAAUAAACCCUUGUCUUUAAGCCAU